AACAAGGAUUCCCCUAGUAGCGGCGAGCGAAGCGGGAAGAGCUCAAAUUUAUAAUCUGGCACCUUCGGUGUCCGAGUUGUAAUCUCUAGAAGUGUUUUCCGCGUUGGACCGCACAUAAGUCUGUUGGAAUACAGCGGCAUAGUGGUGAAACCCCCGUAUAUGGUGCGGACGCCCAGCGCUUUGUGAUACACUUUCAAUGAGUCGAGUUGUUUGGGAAUGCAGCUCAAAUUGGGUGGUAAAUUCCAUCUAAAGCUAAAUAUUGGCGAGAGACCGAUAGCGAACAAGUACCGUGAGGGAAAGAUGAAAAGCACUUUGGAAAGAGAGUUAACAGUACGUGAAAUUGUUGGAAGGGAAACGCUUGAAGUCAGACUUGCUUGCCGGAGCUUGCUUCGGUUUGCAGGCCAGCAUCAGUUUUCCGGGGUGGAUAAUGACGGUUUGAAGGUAGCAGUCUCGGCUGUGUUAUAGCUUUCCGUUGGAUACAUCCUGGGGGACUGAGGAACGCAGCGUGCUUUUUGCGAAAGACUCGUCUUUUUCACGCUUAGGAUGCUGG
Molecule: ribosomal RNA, 550 nt
Filed under: Rhodotorula graminis
Lineage: Eukaryota; Fungi; Basidiomycota; Microbotryomycetes; Sporidiobolales; Sporidiobolaceae
Description: partial large subunit ribosomal RNA
Rfam family: Eukaryotic large subunit ribosomal RNA
Source: RNAcentral